Molecule: ribosomal RNA, 117 nt
Filed under: Danio rerio (zebrafish)
Lineage: Eukaryota; Metazoa; Chordata; Actinopteri; Cypriniformes; Danionidae
Source: RNAcentral
UGCCACAGCCAUAUCACCCUGCAGCCCAAGAGCGGUUACUCACUGAAGCUAAGCAGGACUGAGCCUGGUCAGAACCUGGAUGGGAAACCACAUGGGAAAGCUGGGUUGCUGUUGGAA